UGCAAGUCGAACGCGUUGGCCCAAUUGAUUGAUGGUGCUUGCACCUGAUUGAUUUUGGUCGCCAACGAGUGGCGGACGGGUGAGUAACACGUAGGUAACCUGCCCAGAAGCGGGGGACAACAUUUGGAAACAGAUGCUAAUACCGCAUAACAGCGUUGUUCGCAUGAACAACGCUUAAAAGAUGGCUUCUCGCUAUCACUUCUGGAUGGACCUGCGGUGCAUUAGCUUGUUGGUGGGGUAAUGGCCUACCAAGGCGAUGAUGCAUAGCCGAGUUGAGAGACUGAUCGGCCACAAUGGGACUGAGACACGGCCCAUACUCCUACGGGAGGCAGCAGUAGGGAAUCUUCCACAAUGGGCGCAAGCCUGAUGGAGCAACACCGCGUGAGUGAAGAAGGGUUUCGGCUCGUAAAGCUCUGUUGUUAAAGAAGAACACGUAUGAGAGUAACUGUUCAUACGUUGACGGUAUUUAACCAGAAAGUCACGGCUAACUACGUGCCAGCAGCCGCGGUAAUACGUAGGUGGCAAGCGUUAUCCGGAUUUAUUGGGCGUAAAGAGAGUGCAGGCGGUUUUCUAAGUCUGAUGUGAAAGCCUUCGGCUUAACCGGAGAAGUGCAUCGGAAACUGGAUAACUUGAGUGCAGAAGAGGGUAGUGGAACUCCAUGUGUAGCGGUGGAAUGCGUAGAUAUAUGGAAGAACACCAGUGGCGAAGGCGGCUACCUGGUCUGCAACUGACGCUGAGACUCGAAAGCAUGGGUAGCGAACAGGAUUAGAUACCCUGGUAGUCCAUGCCGUAAACGAUGAGUGCUAGGUGUUGGAGGGUUUCCGCCCUUCAGUGCCGGAGCUAACGCAUUAAGCACUCCGCCUGGGGAGUACGACCGCAAGGUUGAAACUCAAAGGAAUUGACGGGGGCCCGCACAAGCGGUGGAGCAUGUGGUUUAAUUCGAAGCUACGCGAAGAACCUUACCAGGUCUUGACAUCUUGCGCCAACCCUAGAGAUAGGGCGUUUCCUUCGGGAACGCAAUGACAGGUGGUGCAUGGUCGUCGUCAGCUCGUGUCGUGAGAUGUUGGGUUAAGUCCCGCAACGAGCGCAACCCUUGUUACUAGUUGCCAGCAUUAAGUUGGGCACUCUAGUGAGACUGCCGGUGACAAACCGGAGGAAGGUGGGGACGACGUCAGAUCAUCAUGCCCCUUAUGACCUGGGCUACACACGUGCUACAAUGGACGGUACAACGAGUCGCGAACUCGCGAGGGCAAGCAAAUCUCUUAAAACCGUUCUCAGUUCGGACUGCAGGCUGCAACUCGCCUGCACGAAGUCGGAAUCGCUAGUAAUCGCGGAUCAGCAUGCCGCGGUGAAUACGUUCCCGGGCCUUGUACACACCGCCCGUCACACCAUGAGAGUUUGUAACACCCAAAGUCGGUGGGGUAACCUUUUAGGAGCCAGCCGCC
RNAcentral lists this ribosomal RNA (1445 nucleotides) under Limosilactobacillus fermentum. Its description in RNAcentral is "bacterial SSU rRNA". It matches the Rfam family "Bacterial small subunit ribosomal RNA". The record is from RNAcentral. Lineage: Bacteria; Bacillati; Bacillota; Bacilli; Lactobacillales; Lactobacillaceae.